UAUUGCUUUCUAGUAGAAACUAAGUAACAGUAUUGCUUGCUAGUCCACAAAAUCAUACCCGCCAUUUCCAACCAUCCGCCAAACUAUGUCGUUGUACGAAGAAAACAUUUCGAAUGAAACGAAGGAAAGUCGACAUCAGAGAAUACAGGAAGAUUGGGAUAAUCGCGAAUACGUUGAAGCAGUAACGAGUAGCAUCAGAAAGAUGACGACAUUUCUAAAUUUAUUCGAUGCUUCGUGCAGGAGUCGUCUGACAUUUUUGAAUCAAAAAUUGUCUUCGCUAGAGCGAAAAAUUGAUUAUAUCGAAGCAAGAAUUGAGAAGAAGGCAACGUGAUUUGUGUUUGUUUAUUAUAAUGGACAAAAAUGGUGUUUACAACUGCAGGGUAACCCUUUCCACAUAAAAAAACAGCGCCCUUCUACAAAAGUGAGGACAAUUCAUGCACAAAUUGAACUUAUGUGUGUGAAUGAUUGUAUCCAAAGGUUUUAGAAAUCAAGGAAGCUUUGAACUGAAGUUAUGUUAUCUCUAGUAUAUGUCCUGAAUCACCUCCUCGGUAUUGUAGUCCGUUACGUCCCAGAUUACUGACUCAUUCGGGUACAGUCAUACACAAACAGUUCAAGCGUAUUUUAUACUUGAUGUUAUGUUCUCUCUAUGACGGUGGUUCUCAAACUUUAUAAGCCGCCCCAAACCCCCCUCCUCUUCCUUAGAAUUUGCCAAGUCUCGAGCCACUCCUUAAAAAAUAACUAGCUAACAAGUUUAGGAAGCCCUGAUCAAACUUAUCAAGUUCACAUCUGUAGUAUGUUUUGCAGCCCUAUCCUCGAAAUUCUUGGGUAUUAGGUAAAUAAUUUCGAACCCAUAGAGCAGACAUGGUUCGUUGUGCUUUGUAAAUCUUUUACAGCAGUCAAAAAUAAAAGUAAAAAUAAAAGUUUGAGUUAGCUCUCUCAAAAAUAACUAGCUAACAAUAAGCUACAAAUAACAGAUAGUAAGGCGAAAGUAUGUUUUAUUCAAAAAACACGUUGAAAAUACGUAUGGAUGAAGCGUAGAUAUCCAAAAUAGGGCGAGCAAUAUCAAAUUCAACAAAUAUUUUUAAUUAGCUUUACGCCCCCUUAAAAAAUUGUAUAUGCUACCCUUGUGAGGCGCGCCCCAUCGUUUGAGAACGACUUCACUAGAAUAUGUUCCAAAUGACCUGGCUUCUGUUUUUUUUUUGGGUCACCAUGUACUAAAUGGGCUUUGUUUGUCAUGUUUUUCUCUAAGAGCGGACUUAUUUUCAAACUCUUCGGAGUCAUGUAUUGGACUUUCAAUGGUCGUAAAAGAAAUUUGAAACUGGGUUCUGAAUUUCUAUUUCCCAAGCUAGACCGGAGCAGGUAGCGGGGAAUAGCUAGCCCGAACACAUAGUUUUCAAGUAUCCUGAGAGUCUAAAAAGCAUGUGAAUGAUACAGAAGAAUGCUCACAUUUAAAAAGGGAGGACAGUUCCCCUGGCUAGGUUCUGAUAUUCCAGGAAUGUUUUUAUCGAAUCAGCUCUUAUCCGAUUCUCGCGCUAACUGAGGAUGAUGGACUUAUAUUCGUAAAGAUUUGUAUUCUGAUUGAUAUCCUACGCUACACAACUUAUUACAACAUUCUAAGCAUUUUUUUCGACGUUUUUUAUUUUAUAUGGGCACCCACUGAGCUUCUUGUAAACUAUCUAGCGCUCGACUAAUCAAGCAAAUAAUAAUUCAGUCUUUUUUAUAUUUUGUGAGGUUUUCCUAUUUUUCAUUAUUUUUAUUAAUAUUAUUCAGAGAAAUAAAGCAAUUUGAUAAUCUA
Molecule: non-coding RNA, 1795 nt
Organism: Styela clava
Lineage: Eukaryota; Metazoa; Chordata; Ascidiacea; Stolidobranchia; Styelidae
Source: RefSeq, a predicted model, not a curated record